RNAcentral lists this ribosomal RNA (1372 nucleotides) under uncultured bacterium. RNAcentral's name for it is "bacterial SSU rRNA". It matches the Rfam family "Bacterial small subunit ribosomal RNA", at positions 28 to 1381 of the family's 1533-position model. The record is from RNAcentral.
GAUGAACGCUGGCGGCGUGCCUAAUACAUGCAAGUCGAGCGAACGGACGAGAAGCUUGCUUCUCUGAUGUUAGCGGCGGACGGGUGAGUAACACGUGGAUAACCUACCUAUAAGACUGGGAUAACUUCGGGAAACCGGAGCUAAUACCGGAUAAUAUUUUGAACCGCAUGGUUCAAAAGUGAAAGACGGUCUUGCUGUCACUUAUAGAUGGAUCCGCGCUGCAUUAGCUAGUUGGUAAGGUAACGGCUUACCAAGGCAACGAUGCAUAGCCGACCUGAGAGGGUGAUCGGCCACACUGGAACUGAGACACGGUCCAGACUCCUACGGGAGGCAGCAGUAGGGAAUCUUCCGCAAUGGGCGAAAGCCUGACGGAGCAACGCCGCGUGAGUGAUGAAGGUCUUCGGAUCGUAAAACUCUGUUAUUAGGGAAGAACAUAUGUGUAAGUAACUGUGCACAUCUUGACGGUACCUAAUCAGAAAGCCACGGCUAACUACGUGCCAGCAGCCGCGGUAAUACGUAGGUGGCAAGCGUUAUCCGGAAUUAUUGGGCGUNAAGCGCGCGUAGGCGGUUUUUUAAGUCUGAUGUGAAAGCCCACGGCUCAACCGUGGAGGGUCAUUGGAAACUGGAAAACUUGAGUGCAGAAGAGGAAAGUGGAAUUCCAUGUGUAGCGGUGAAAUGCGCAGAGAUAUGGAGGAACACCAGUGGCGAAGGCGACUUUCUGGUCUGUAACUGACGCUGAUGUGCGAAAGCGUGGGGAUCAAACAGGAUUAGAUACCCUGGUAGUCCACGCCGUAAACGAUGAGUGCUAAGUGUUAGGGGGUUUCCGCCCCUUAGUGCUGCAGCUAACGCAUUAAGCACUCCGCCUGGGGAGUACGACCGCAAGGUUGAAACUCAAAGGAAUUGACGGGGACCCGCACAAGCGGUGGAGCAUGUGGUUUAAUUCGAAGCAACGCGAAGAACCUUACCAAAUCUUGACAUCCUUUGACAACUCUAGAGAUAGAGCUUUCCCCUUCGGGGGACAAAGUGACAGGUGGUGCAUGGUUGUCGUCAGCUCGUGUCGUGAGAUGUCGGGUUAAGUCCCGCAACGAGCGCAACCCUUAAGCUUAGUUGCCAUCAUUAAGUUGGGCACUCUAAGUUGACUGCCGGUGACAAACCGGAGGAAGGUGGGGAUGACGUCAAAUCAUCAUGCCCCUUAUGAUUUGGGCUACACACGUGCUACAAUGGACAAUACAAAGGGCAGCGAAACCGUGAGGUCAAGCAAAUCCCAUAAAGUUGUUCUCAGUUCGGAUUGUAGUCUGCAACUCGACUACAUGAAGCUGGAAUCGCUAGUAAUCGUAGAUCAGCAUGCUACGGUGAAUACGUUCCCGGGUCU